ACGGGAGGCAGCAGUGGGGAAUAUUGGGCAAUGGGCGAAAGCCUGACCCAGCAACGCCGCGUGAAGGAAGAAGGUCUUCGGAUUGUAAACUUCUUUUAUGAGGGACGAAGGACGUGACGGUACCUCAUGAAUAAGCCACGGCUAACUACGUGCCAGCAGCCGCGGUAAUACGUAGGUGGCAAGCGUUAUCCGGAUUUACUGGGUGUAAAGGGCGCGUAGGCGGGUAUGCAAGUCAGAUGUGAAAUCUAUGGGCUUAACUCAUAAACUGCAUUUGAAACUGUGUGUCUUGAGUGCUGGAGAGGCAGAUGGAAUUCCUAGUGUAGCGGUGAAAUGCGUAGAUAUUAGGAGGAACACCAGUGGCGAAGGCGGAUUGCUGGACGACAACUGACGGUGAGGCGCGAAAGCGUGGGGAGCAAACAGGAUUAGAUACCCUGGUA
Molecule: ribosomal RNA, 437 nt
Rfam family: Bacterial small subunit ribosomal RNA